GAUGAACGCUGGCGGCGUGCCUAAUACAUGCAAGUCGAGCGAACAGAUGAGGAGCUUGCUCCUCUGACGUUAGCGGCGGACGGGUGAGUAACACGUGGAUAACCUACCUAUAAGACUGGGAUAACUUCGGGAAACCGGAGCUAAUACCGGAUAAUAUAUUGAACCGCAUUGUUCAAUAGUGAAAGACGGUUUUGCUGUCACUUAUAGAUGGAUCCGCGCCGCAUUAGCUAGUUGGUAAGGUAACGGCUUACCAAGGCAACGAUGCGUAGCCGACCUGAGAGGGUGAUCGGCCACACUGGAACUGAGACACGGUCCAGACUCCUACGGGAGGCAGCAGUAGGGAAUCUUCCGCAAAGGGCGAAAGCCUGACGGAGCAACGCCGCGUGAGUGAUGAAGGUCUUCGGAUCGUAAAACUCUGUUAUUAGGGAAGAACAAAUGUGUAAGUAACUAUGCACGUCUUGACGGUACCUAAUCAGAAAGCCACGGCUAACUACGUG
This 497-nucleotide ribosomal RNA is filed under the name uncultured bacterium. Its description in RNAcentral is "partial 16S ribosomal RNA". It matches the Rfam family "Bacterial small subunit ribosomal RNA", at positions 28 to 507 of the family's 1533-position model. The record is from RNAcentral.